This 253-nucleotide ribosomal RNA is filed under the name uncultured bacterium. RNAcentral's name for it is "partial 16S ribosomal RNA". It matches the Rfam family "Bacterial small subunit ribosomal RNA", at positions 524 to 776 of the family's 1533-position model. The record is from RNAcentral.
UACGUAGGGGGCAAGCGUUGUCCGGAUUUAUUGGGCGUAAAGAGCGUGUAGGCGGCCAGGUAGGUGGGUUGUGAAAACUGGAGGCUCAACCUUCAGACGUCGACCCAAAGCCCCUGGCUAGAGUCCGGAAGAGGAGAGUGGAAUUCCUGGUGUAGCGGUGAAAUGCGCAGAUAUCAGGAAGAACACCCGUGGCGAAGGCGGCUCUCUGGGACGGUACUGACGCUGAGACGCGAAAGCGUGGGGAGCGAACAGG